GGAUCAUUACAAGAAGCCGAAAGGCUACUUCAAACCAUCGCGAACUCGUCCAAGUUGCUUCGGCGGCGCGGCACCCCUUAACGGGGGCGCCGCAGCCCUGCCUCUCCGGAGGUCCGGGGCGCCCGCCGGAGGUACGAAACUCUGUAUUAUAGUGGCAUCUCUGAGUAUAAAACAAAUAAGUUAAAACUUUCAACAACGGAUCUCUUGGUUCUGGCAUCGAUGAAGAACGCAGCGAAAUGCGAUAAGUAAUGUGAAUUGCAGAAUUCAGUGAAUCAUCGAAUCUUUGAACGCACAUUGCGCCCGGUAGUACUCUACCGGGCAUGCCUGUUCGAGCGUCAUUUCAACCCUCAAGCCCUGCUUGGUGUUGGGGCCCUACGGCUGCCGUAGGCCCUGAAAGGAAGUGGCGGGCUCGCUACAACUCCGAGCGUAGUAAUUCAUUAUCUCGCUAGGGAGGUUGCGGCGUGCUCCUGCCGUUAAAGACCCAUCUUUAACCAAGGUUGACCUCGGAUCAGGUAGGAAUACCCGCUGAACUUAAGCAUAUCAAUAAGCGGAGGAAAAGAAACCAACAGGGAUUGCCCUAGUAACGGCGAGUGAAGCGGCAACAGCUCAAAUUUGAAAUCUGGCUUUGGCCCGAGUUGUAAUUUGUAGAGGAUGCUUUUGGUGAGGUGCCUUCUGAGUUCCCUGGAACGGGACGCCAGAGAGGGUGAGAGCCCCGUAUAGUCGGCCACCGAUCCUUUGUAAAGCUCCUUCGACGAGUCGAGUAGUUUGGGAAUGCUGCUCAAAAUGGGAGGUAUAUCUCUUCUAAAGCUAAAUAUAGGCCAGAGACCGAUAGCGCACAAGUAGAGUGAUCGAAAGAUGAAAAGCACUUUGAAAAGAGGGUUAAAUAGCACGUGAAAUUGUUGAAAGGGAAGCGCUUGUGACCAGACUUGUGCCGGGCUGAUCAUCCAGUGUUCUCACUGGUGCACUCGACCCGGCUCAGGCCAGCGUCGGUUUUCGUGGGGGGAUAAAAGCUUCGGGAACGUAGCACCUUCGGGUGUGUUAUAGCCCGUUGCUUAAUACCUCCGUGGAGACCGAGGU
This 1077-nucleotide ribosomal RNA is filed under the name Sordariomycetes sp. genotype 54. RNAcentral describes it as "eukaryotic LSU rRNA". The stretch from base 499 to 1077 matches the Rfam family "Eukaryotic large subunit ribosomal RNA", at positions 1 to 592 of the family's 3401-position model. The record is from RNAcentral. Lineage: Eukaryota; Fungi; Ascomycota; Sordariomycetes.